CUUUUGAAGAGGAUCUUAAUAAUAAAAAUAAUGUUAUGUUACUAGUUAAACACUGGGAAUAAUUCCUCCAUCACAGGCAGACUGCUGAAGCCAGAAUGAACCCACCAUUCCCUGGGAGGAAUCCCCAGGGUCCCAGCAGGAUGCAUUAACAGCACAUCUCUCCAGUGAGCCGUGAUGGGAAGAGCACGGAGCAAAAAAAAGAGAACCGAAGAACCGAUCUCUCGAAGGAUCCUGGCUGGCAGCAGUAUCACCAUCUGACUGAAGAGAACUCAGCCACACGCAUAAUCCUCGGGAAAAUUCAUCUCCACCCUCCCGCAGACCCCGGUGGCACUAGAACAGAAUUGUGGGCUUUGUCCCUUGUCACUGCAAUUCCGUGUGUGCCCCAGAAUCAGCUGGGCUGAACCAGGAUUCCUGGGGUGAGGACAGGAGGGGCCAGAGGUUCAUCCUGAGAACACCCCGAGGCUGAGCUGAGCAAACGAGUCAGGCAGAAGAAUUCCACCGGUGUUGGCAAAUUCUUCUCUCUCACUGGACUUGAUGGCAGCCAGUCCCCUGUGAAUCCCUGACCUUCACACUCCACAGGCUGCCUGGGAUGGCUCACAGCAACCACAGGAGAUUUUCUCCUGUUCCUGACUGUCAGAGC
This 640-nucleotide long non-coding RNA is filed under the name Serinus canaria (Common canary). RNAcentral describes it as "lncRNA (ENSSCAG00000007228.1)". Lineage: Eukaryota; Metazoa; Chordata; Aves; Passeriformes; Fringillidae. The record is from RNAcentral.